ACUAUAGAGUUUAACACUGAACUAAGGACAUAAGGAAAAGAGAUUGGGAGGAGCUCCGGGCUGCGAUCGCCAACAGCUACCUAAAGACUCCUCGAGGAUCCGCCUGAAGCUGGAAUGAAUCAGCACUCGGGAGCGGGACCAGCUACGCCUGAAUCUGCACACGAGGUACAUGGAGUAAAGUGAGUACUCCAACUCAGUGAGUAACAAAUGUAAAUAACGACUGAAAGUAAGAAAACACGUAGGGCACAAGGCAUUCUAUAAUGAAGCAGUAAGAUCAUUUAAAACAGUAAACCAAUGAAAAAUCAAGUAAAAUCCUCCUUUCAACAAGUAAACAAGUAAUUGACAGGUAAUUAAUGUAAAGUAAACAAAUAGGAGUUCGCCCCUCGGGCACAGUAUCAGCAAUUCCGCCCCUCGGGCAACAUCUCAGAACAGUACAGCCCCUCGGGCUCAAUCUCAUAUCACAAUGGGUACCCACGCCCACUUGGGGUGUGCAGACUCCUGGAGGGGCCCUUAUAACCCAAACGCAAUAACAAGUCAUCUCAUGGCAUCAAAACUAGGCCCUCGGUCUCAUAUCAAUCAAGUCACUUCAUGGCACAUAUAUCUUAGGCCCUCGGCCUCAAAUCAGUAUCAGUGUUUCCUCACAACUAGGCCCUCGGCCUUACUCAGUCAAAAAUACUCGCAAGACCCUCGGGUAAUAGUAAACAGUGUUCAUCAGCCCAAACAUCAUUUAAAAUAUCAUUUAAGUCUUAAAACUGAGUAAACAUGACUAAGAAUGAAAACAGUGAAAAAUAACAGGACUGAGUUCAAGUGUAAAGUCAAAAUAGUGAGGAAAUAUCAAUAAAAUCCCCGAAAGGUUCAAAUAGUUGGCACUAGGCCCAAAUAUGGUAUUCAGCCCAAAUAAUGAUGAUAGCAAAUAGUUUUCGAUCAAAUACACGGUAAAAUCAUCAAUCGGGACGGACCAAGUCACAAUUCUGAAUACUGAACGACCCACGCUCGUCAUCAAGUGUGUGUCUCACCUCAAUAUAGCACUACGAUGUGCAAUUCCGGGGUUUCAAACCCUUAGAACAUCAUUUACAAUCAUUACUCACCUCGAACCGGCUAAAUCUCUAGCUCGCGAUGCCUUUGCCUCUCGAAUCGGCCUCCACGCGCGUCAAAUCUACCCAAAAUCAAAGCGAGGUCGUCAAAAUAUGCUAAGGGAACGAAGCCCAAGCGAAAACAAUCAAUAAAGGGCACAAAUCCCGAAAUUACCAAAACCCGACCCCCAAGCCCACAUCUCGAAAUUCAGAAAUUUUUACAUCAAUAGAUUCCUCAUCUCUCCACGAGUCUAUGCAUAUCAAGAACACUAAAAUCGGAGUCCAAAUGACCCCUCAAAUCCUCCUUUAAAGGCCUCAUAUACUCAAGCCAUAAUCCUCCAUGUUUAGCCCUUCAAUUCCUUUAAUUACAGCCUUAAUCCAUGAAAUACUACCAUAGAAAUGUGUUUUAGGUCAAAAAUCCUUACCUUAACGAAGUUCCCUUGAAAUCCCUCUUUCAAAUCGCCCAAAAAGCUCCAAGUCGAAGUCCAAAAAUGGUGAAAUAACCCAAAAUUCGCGAAUGACUCUUUUUAAUUAUUCUAUCUAGUUGUUCUGCAUCUGCGGCCCCAUCGCCACUUCUGCGAUACCGCAUUUGCGGUAAAUCCUCCACUUAUGCGGAAUUCACUUAAGAGCCCGAAAGUCACACCUGCGAUACGCCUUCUGCAUCUGCGGCUCCGCAGAUGCGACCAUCCUUACCGCUUCUGCGGUCACUGAAAAAUCCUCAUAAUCCACUUCUGCGGCCACACCAUCGCAUAUGCAGCACCACACCUGCGGUCCCCAAACCAUAGGUGAGAAAACACCAGAAGCAGCAAAACUUCAGCAGUUGCAAUAAUAUAUCAACUCCUUCAUCAACCAUCUGAAAUCACCCCGAGGCCCCCGGGACCUCAACCAAAAGUACAAACAUAACCCUAUACCUUAUUUAAACUUGUUCCAAUCAUCAAAACACUUCAAACAACACCAAAACAACCAAACACCUCGGAUUCAAGCCUACGUUUCUAAAAUCUUCCAAAUUCCGAUUUUGAUCAAAAACCCGACCAAACCACAUCUGAAUAACCUGAAGUUUUGCACACACAUCCCAAAUGACCUAACGAAACUACUGCAACUCUCAAAAUUCCAUUCUGACCCCUAUAUCAAAUCUCUCUUAACAACCGAAAAUCGCCAAAAUAUGAACUUCGCCAAUUCAAGACUAAAUCUACUCCAAAUAUCCAAAACCCAUUCUGAUCACAUUCCUAAGUCAUAAAUCACCUCCCGAAGCUAACCGAACCAUCGGGACUCAUAUCCGAUCCCUCUAACACAUAAGUCAACAUCCAGUUGACUUUUCCAACUUAAACUCCCUUAAAAGAGACUAAGUGUCUCAAACUUCUCCAAACUCCUUCCGGACUCGAUCCGACCAACCCGAUACCACAAAACACGGAUAAUGAUGCAUAACGAAGAAGAAAUGGGGAAACCAAAGCGGUAACUCAUGAGACGACUGGUCGGGUCGUCACAUCCUCCCCAACUUAAAUAAAAGUUCAUCCGCAAACGAAUCAAGAAUCAUACCUGAUGCCUGUGAGGAUAUCUGCUCCGCAUCUCCCGCUCGGUCUCCCAGGUAGCAUCCUCCACGGGCCAACCUCUCCAUUGCACUUUCACUGAAGCUAUAUUUUGACCUCAACUUCCGAACCUGACGACCCAAAAUAGCUACUGGCUCCACAUCAUAGGUCAAAUCAUCAUCCAACUGAACCAUGCUGAAGUCUAGAACAUAGGACGGAUCCCCAAAAUACUUUUGGAGCAUAGAAACAUGGAAUUCCGGAUGCACACUCGACAAGUUGGGUGGCAAAGCAAGUUCAUAAGCCACCUCCCCAAUCCUCCGAAGCACCUCAAAAGUCCCAAUGAACCGAGGACUCAAUUUCCCUUUCUUCCCAAAUCUCAUAACACCCUUCAGGGGUGAAACCUUCAAUAGAACCUUCUCGCCAACCAUGUGGGACACAUCCCGAACCUUCCUAUCAGUAUAGCUCUUUUGCCUUGACUGCGCUGUACGAAGCCUCUCCUGAAUCACCUUCACCUUCUCUAAGGCAUCCUGCACCAAGUCUGUCCCCAAUAGCCUAGCCUCACCGGGCUCGAACCAACCAACUGGAGAUCUACACUGCCUCCCAUACAAAGCCUCAUAUGGAGCCAUCUGAAUACUCGACUGGUAGCUGUUGUUAUAAGCAAACUCUGCAAGUGAUAGAAACUGAUCCCAUGACCCUCCGAAAUCAAUGAAACAAGCACGCAACAUGUCCUCCAAUACCUGAAUAGUACGCUCGGACUGCCCGUCUGUCUGAGGAUGAAAGGUUGUGCUAAACUCAACCUGAGUACCCAACUCUCGCUGCACAGACCUCCAAAACUGCGAAGUAAACUGAGUGCCCCUAUCUGAAAUGAUGGAAACUGGGACACCAAGCAAACAAACAAUCUCCCGGAUAUAAAUCUCUACCAACCGCUCUGAAGAAUAAGUAGUACACACAGUAAUGAAGUGUGCGGACUUGGUCAGCCGAUCCACAAUCAACUAAAUAGAAUCGAACUUCUUUAAAGUCCGUGGAAGUCCAACAAUAAAGUCCAUAGUGAUCCUCUCCCACUUCCACUCGGGAAUAUCCAUCUGCUGAAGCAAGCCACUCGGUCUCUGAUGCUUAUAUUUCACCUGCUGAUAGUUGAGACACCGAGCUAGAAAUCCCAUAAUAUCUUUCUUCAUUCUUCUCUACUAGUAGUGCUGCCUUAAAUCCUGAUACAUCUUCGCGGCACCCGGAUGAAUGGAAUACCGCAAGUAUGGGCCUCCUCCAUAAUCAACUCCCGAAGACCAACCAUAUUUGGCACACAAAUCUGGCCCUACAUCCUCAACACCUCAUCAUCUCCAAUGGUCAUAUCUCUAGCAUCGUCAUGCUGAACUCUAUCCUUAAGGACAAGCAAGUGUGGAUCGUUAUACUGGCGCUCUCUGAUGCGAUCAUAUAAGGAAGACCGAGACACCACAAAAACCAAUACUCGACUGGGCUCCGAAAUAUCUAAUCUUACAAACCGAUUGGCCAAAGCCUGAACAUCAACUGCAAGAGGUCUCUCCCCAACUAGAAUAUAUUCCAAACUACCCAUACUCACCACCUUUCGGCUCAAGGCGUCAGCCACCACAUUGGCCUUUCCCGGAUGGUAAAAUAUAGUGAUAUCAUAAUCCUUAAGCAACUCUAACCAUCUACGCUGUCUCAAAUUAAGAUCCUUUUGCUUGAACAAAUGCUGAAGACUACGAUGAUUAGUGAACACCUUACAAGAUACGCCAUACAAGUAAUGCCUCCAAAUCUUCAACGUGUGAACUAUGGCAGCCAACUCCAAAUCAUGAACGGGAUAGUUCUUCUCAUGGGGCUUCAACUGACGAGAAGCAUAAGCAAUAACUCUACCCUCCUGCAUCAACACACAACCAAUCCCAACUCUUGAAGCAUCACAAUACAUGGUAUAUGAACCUGAAGUUGAUGGCAAGACCAACACUGGAGUUGUGGUCAAAGAUGUCUUGAGCUUCUGAAAGCUCUCCUCACACUCGUCCGACCAUACAAAUGAAGCACCUUUCUGAGUCAACUUGGUCAAGGGUUAUGCGAUAGAUGAGAAUCCCUGAACAAACAGGCGAUAAUAGCCUGCCAAACCGAGAAAGCUGUGAAUCUAUGUGGCUGAGGACGGUCUAGGCCAACUCGGAACCGCCUCUAUCUUUUUCGUAUCAACCUGAAUACUCUCACAGGACACCACGUGCCCCAAGAAAACCACUGAACUGAGCCAAAACUCACAUUUGGAUAAUUUUGCAUAAAGUUUCUCCUCCCUCAAUCUCUUCAACACAACUCUCAAAUGCUCCGCGUGCUCCUCCUGACUAUGUGAGUACACCAGAAUAUCAUCAAUGAAAACUAUGACAAACGAAUUGAGAUAAGGCCAGAACAUGUUGUUCAUCAAAUGCAUGAACGCUGAUGGGGCAUUGGUCAGCCCAAAAGACAUUACCAAGAACUCAUAAUGACCAUAACGGGUCCUGAAAGCCGUCUUAAGAAUAUCCGAGUCUCUGAUCUUCAACUGGUGAUAACCCGAACGGAGAUCAAUCUUGGAGAACACCCUCGCUCCUUGAAGCUAGUUGAAUAAAUCAUCAAUAUGAGGUAAAGGAUACUUGUUCUUAAUUGUUACCUUGUUUAAUUGCCUAUAAUCAAUGCACAUUCUCAUUGUUCCAACCUUAUUCUUCAAAAAUAGAACUGGUGCACCCCAAUGUGACAUACUAGGCCGAAUGAACCCUUUAUCAAGGAGUUUCUGAAGUUGUUCUUUUAAUUCCUUCAACUCCGUAGGUGCCAUACGAUACGGCGGAAUAGAAAUAGGCUGAGUGUCCGACACCAGGUCAAUACCAAAAUCAAUAUUCUUGUCCGGUGGCAUGCCCGACAGGUCUGCAGGAAACACAUCGGGAAAAUCCCUCACAACUGGGAUAAAAUCAAUACUGGGAGUCUCGGCUCCGAUAUCCCUCACAAAAGCUAGAUACGAAAGACAACCCUUCCCAACCAUAUGCUAGGCUUUCAAGAAUGAGAUCACUCUACUGGGAACAUAAUCAGUCACACCUCGCCACUCAAUCUGUGGCACACCUGGUAUAGCCAAUGUGAUUGUCUUAGCAUGACAGUCCAAAAUAGCACGAUACGGAGAUAGCCAAUUCAUGCCCAAAAUGACAUCGAAAUCCACCAUACACAAUAAUAAAAGAUCCACAAGGGUCUCCAGACCCCCAAUAAUCACCACACAUGACCGAUACACACGGUCUACAACAACAGUAUCGCCCACCGGGGUAGAUACAUGAACAUGUGAAGUAAGAAACUCACGAGGCAUACCCAAAUAGCGAGCAAAGUAUGAUGACACAUAAGAAAAGGUGGAACUGAGAUCAAAUAAUACAGAGGCAUCUCUGUGGCAGACUAAAAUAAUAUCUGUAAUAAUAGCGUCUGAAGCAAUAGCUUAGGGUCUGCCUGGGAGUGCAUAGAAAUGGGCCUGACCUCCCCCUAAUCGACCUCCCCCUCUAGGGCGACCCCUAGCUGACUGACCCCCAACCCUAGCUGACUGAGCGGGUGGUGGUAAAUAAACUAGCGCUGAAGCCGAUGACUGGCCUCUCUGCUGAGAUGAACUAGCUAAAUGACGAGGACACUGCCUCCAUAUGUGACCCAUCUCGCCACACUCAUAACAACUCCCAGGUGAUGGAGAAGGGGACUGAAGGGAACCCCUCGCACCGGAGUGACUAGCAGAUGCAUAGAAGAGCCCUGGACUGAUGGAGCACGGGACAAACUCUAAGCUGGAAGGGCACUAAGUGAUAACUGGCCCUAUUGAGAACUGUGAUAACCAUGACCCAAAGAUGCCCCACGAUAACCUGGGCGAGCUGGCUGAGCAGACCUGAAUGGACGGCCUCUGUCGUGCUGAAACUGACCUCUCGAAGGAGUACCAUUGUAACUUCCAGAUCCUCGAGGCCUCUUGGCCUCCCUCUUCUCACGCUCCUAGCGACGAACAGACUCAAUCUCAUGGGCAAUAUGCACAACCUCCUCAAACGUAGCACCAAUCGCCCUCUCCUUGGUCAUGAGAAUAUGAAGCUGAUAAGUGAGGCCAUCAACAAACCUCAUAAUCCUCUCCCUAUCAGUCGGGACCGACCAGAUGGCAUAACGAGCCAACUCGGAGAACCUCAACUCAUACUGCGACACAGUCAUCUCCCUCUAACGCAACCACUCAAACUGCCUACGCAGCUCCUCUUUAUGAGACUGCGGCACAUACUUCUCCAGAAAGAUAACGGAGAACUGCUCCUAGGAAAGGGGUGCUGCACCAACAGGCCUACGCCUCUCAAAAUCCUCCUACCAAGUGAAAGCAGCUCCUGAAAACUGAUAGGUAGUAAAAGCGACCCCGCUGGUCUCCAGAAUACCCGCUGUAUGAAGCAUCCUCUGACACUUGUCUAAAAAGACCUGGGCAUCCUCGCCCUCUGCACCACUGAAUGACGGAGGCUAAAGUCUACCAAACCUCUCCAACCUACGCUGCUUGUCCUCCGGCAUAGCAGAAACUUCAUAAUCCUGAGCAACUGCAACCGGCUGGGCUGGAUGUGCCCCCCGAUGCCUGAAGUCCUUGCAUGACCUGCUCAGGUGUGCGAGCGGCGGGAGUCUGAUUGCCUCCCCCGGCCUGAGAUAUAACUGAGGUUGUAGUGGCUGAAACCGCCUGAGCCAGGCCAGUGCAAACUGAUAAGAUCUGUGCCAAGGCCUCCUGAAGACCCGGAAUCACAAUGGGCACAGCUGGUGCCUGAGCUGGUGCUGCUGGAGCAUCCAUAACUAGGACCUGAUCCUGAACUGGGGCAGCUGGUAGAUCUGGAGGUGCUGCUCUAGACGCUCUAUCCCUACCACGACCACGACCGCGUCCUUGGUCUCUGGUGGCAACAACUGGUGGUACUGGGGGUCAUCCACCCCGACCAGUAGCGCGUGUCCUCACCAUCCAUGAGAGAGUAGAGCAAAGGAAGUUUAGUACUCAGAUCAACAAGUUCGCAUGACAAGAAUUUCAAGAAUACGAAGUUUUUCCUAAAGGUUCUGCAGCCUCUCGAGGAUAAAUACAGACAUCCCGUACCGAUCCGCGAGACUCUACUAAAUCUUCUCAUGACUCGUGAGACAUAUGUAACCUAGGCUCUAAUACCAACUUGUCACGACCCUAACCUGGACCCAAUCGUGACGGCGCCUCUCGUGAAGACAAGGCCAGCCAACUAUUCCCAAUUCGACGUUAAACAGUUAAAAUAGCAGUAAAACAGUCUAAGACAUGAUUAAUAAUACGAAGUAGCAGAUAAUAUCGAUAAAAAUAUGGAAGUACAACCUAACACAACCCCAAACGGGGUGUCACAAGUCACGAGAAUCUAACAACACUGAAUACUCAAAUGUAACUACAGAGUUUAACACUGAACUAAGGACAUAAGAAAAAGAGAUAGGGAGGAGCUCGGGGCUGCGAUCGCCAACAGCUACCUAAAGACUCCUCGAGGAUCCGCCUGAAGCUAGAAUGAAUCACCACUUGGGAGAGGGACCAGCUACGCCUGAUUCUGCACACAGGGUGCAUGGAGUAAAAUGAGUACUCCAACUCAGUGAGUAACAAAUGUAAAUAACGACUAAAAGUAAGAAAACACGUAGGGCACAAGGCAUUCUAUAAUGAAGCAGUAAGAUCAUUUAAAAUAGUAAACCAGUGAAAAAUCAAGUAAAACCCUCCUUUCAACAAGUAAUUGACAGGUAAUUAAUGUAAAGUAAACAAAUAGAAGUUCAUCCCUCAGGCACAGUAUCAGCAAUUCCGCCGCUCGGGCAACAUCUCAAAAUAAUACCAGCCCCUCGAGCUCAAUCUCACAUCACAAUGGGUACCCACGCUCACUGGGGGUGUGCAGACUCCUAAAGGGGCCAUUACUGCCCAAGCGCAAUAACAAGUCAUCUCGUGGCAUCAAAACUAGGCCCUCGGCCUCAUAUCAAUCUAGCUACCUCGUAGUGCAUAUAUCUCAGGCCCUCGACCUCAAAUCAGUAUCAGUGUUUCCUCACUACUAGGCCAUCGACAUUACUUAGUCAAAAAUACUCGCAAGCCCCUCGGGCAAUAGUAAACAGUGUUUCUCAGCCCAAAUAUCAUUUAAAAUAUCAUUUAAGUCUUAAAUUUGAGUAAACAUGGUUGAGUAUGAAAACAGUGAAAAAUAACAGGACUGAGUUCAAGUUUAAAGUCAAAACAGUGAGGAAAUAUCAAUAAAAAUUCCCGAAGGGUUCAAAUAAUUGACACUAGGCCCAAAUAUGGCAUUCAGCCCAGAUAAUGAUGAUAGCAAAUAGUUUUCAAUCAAAUACGCAGUAAAAUCAUCAAUCGGGAUGGACCAAGUCACAAUCCCCAAUAGUGCACGACCCCACGCUCAUCAUGAAGCGUGUGUCUCACCUCAAUAUAACACUACGAUGUGCAAUUCCGAGGUUUCAAACCCUCAGAACAUCAUUUACAAUCACUACUCACCUCGAACCGGCUAAAUCUCUAGCUCGCGAUGCCUUUGCCCCUCGAAUCGGCC
Molecule: long non-coding RNA, 9099 nt
Filed under: Nicotiana tabacum (common tobacco)
Lineage: Eukaryota; Viridiplantae; Streptophyta; Magnoliopsida; Solanales; Solanaceae
Description: long non-coding RNA (NTAB_LNC004369)
Source: RNAcentral